RNAcentral lists this ribosomal RNA (279 nucleotides) under uncultured bacterium. RNAcentral describes it as "partial 16S ribosomal RNA". It matches the Rfam family "Bacterial small subunit ribosomal RNA", at positions 506 to 784 of the family's 1533-position model. The record is from RNAcentral.
UGCCAGCAGCCGCGGUAAUACGUAGGGGGCUAACGUUGUUCGGAAUCAUUGGGCGUAAAGAGCACGUAGGCUGUUUAAUAAGUUAAGUGUGAAAUCCCUGAGCUCAACUCAGGAACUGCAUUUAAAACUGUUAAACUAGAGUAUGAUAGAAGGUAAUGGAAUUUCUAGUGUAGAGGUGAAAUUCGUAGAUAUUAGAAGGAACACCAAAGGCGAAGGCAAUUAUCCGGGUCAUUACUGACGUUGAGGUGCGAAAGCAUGGGUAGCGGAGAGGAUUAGAUA